UACGGGGGGGGCAAGCGUUGUUCGGAAUUACUGGGCGUAAAGGGCUCGCAGGUGGCCAACUAAGUCAGACGUGAAAUCCCUCGGCUUAACCGGGGAACUGCGUCUGAUACUGGAUGGCUUGAGUUUGGGAGAGGGACGCGGAAUUCCAGGUGUAGCGGUGAAAUGCGUAGAUAUCUGGAGGAACACCGGUGGCGAAGGCGGCGUCCUGGACCAACACUGACACUGAUGAGCGAAAGCCAGGGGAGCAAACGGG
Molecule: ribosomal RNA, 253 nt
Filed under: uncultured bacterium
Lineage: Bacteria
Description: partial 16S ribosomal RNA
Rfam family: Bacterial small subunit ribosomal RNA
Source: RNAcentral